Pectinophora gossypiella (pink bollworm) is the source of this 655-nucleotide long non-coding RNA. RefSeq lists it as uncharacterized. NCBI's taxonomy places the organism in Eukaryota, Metazoa, Arthropoda, Insecta, Lepidoptera, Gelechiidae. The record is from RefSeq and is a predicted model, not a curated record. The transcript has 3 exons.
CUUCUAGCUUACGACACAAACUAUGAGUGAGAAAAGGACAAAUGAUUCGCUCUUUGCUUCAUUUUUUCCGAGGUUGUCACAACAUGAAAUGUCAUUUGGACCUAUUGGACUCAUUUUAAUUCGGCCAAAUACAUAGUAACAUACAUAAGAAGAUUUUACUUAUAUUUACCGAACUAUUUGACACGGUCGCGUGAACUUUGUUUACGAGUGUCUUGUGUUCAGAUUGUUUUAAGUGAUAAUUUAACAAUAUUUUUCCAAAUAAAUGGAAAGAAACUUUUAUUUAUAUCAAAUAAUUGAGUGUCUCGACUCUGUGACAUUAUGUCUUGUGUGGUAUGGGGCUGCAGCUCACAUUCAGGAAGAAAAGAAAAUAGCCAACAACUUCUGUCGUUUCAUCGAUAUUAAAUCCAAAAGUGUCGACUGGAUUUACAUGAAAAGUCAGUUCAAGAAGACGAGAUGAAAAAUUUAAAAGAAAAGCUGAACAAGUCACGCCUCAAGAUCAAACGACUUAAUGAAAAAAAAAAUCAAUGUGACAGGGUGUCACAAAGACAGUUUCUAAACAAAUUGACACUGUUUAGAAAUUAAUAAAUUUGUAUUUAUUGUAAAUAUAAUGUACAUAAUUAAUAACGUGUAAAAUAAAUACUUGCUAAUGAACAGA